Molecule: ribosomal RNA, 255 nt
Filed under: uncultured Gigaspora
Lineage: Eukaryota; Fungi; Glomeromycota; Glomeromycetes; Diversisporales; Gigasporaceae
Description: partial 18S ribosomal RNA
Rfam family: Eukaryotic small subunit ribosomal RNA
Source: RNAcentral
AAGCUCGUAGUUGAAUUUCGGGGUUCUACCGUUGGUCGGGCAAUAGUCUGUACUGGCGUGUAGAAUUUCUACCUUCUGGGGAACCAUCAUGUUAUUUAUUUAGCGUGGUGGGAAACCAGGACCUUUACCUUGAAAAAAUUAGAGUGUUCAAAGCAGGCUUACGUCUGAAUACAUUAGCAUGGAAUAAUAAAAUAGGACGGUGGUCCUGUUUUGUUGGUUCCUGAAUCACCGUAAUGAUUAAUAGGGAUAGUUGGG